Molecule: long non-coding RNA, 1458 nt
Organism: Neopsephotus bourkii (Bourke's parrot)
Lineage: Eukaryota; Metazoa; Chordata; Aves; Psittaciformes; Psittacidae
Exons: 3
Source: RefSeq, a predicted model, not a curated record
UCAGCAGUCUGCAUAGUAUUUCUGUAUGUGAAUAUCUGACGUAGUUAUGCUGCUGAAAAGCUGCAGCCAGGACAAUGCUUGGUAGUCUUUGGAAGUUAGUCUUUUCUAAAUUUGUUUCCCUUUGGUUGGGGAAAGAGCUUGGCUUUUAGCUGAAUGUAGAGGAAGCCUACUGGAAAAGAAAUGCAUAGGACUGCAUCUCAGGAUGGGGGACAUAUGCACAAGACGCUUUCCUGAAGAGAUGUUAAGAUCCAAGAAGAAAGAUGGAAAGUCGAAAGAAUGGCAGUGUACAAUGCAAGCAUGUAGAUUUAUACCUGCUAUUGCCCAGCUGUGACUUGGUUAGCACUAAAAUGUGUCUACAAUGUAGAUAUAAGCUGAACAUAAUUCCCAUGUUAGUAGAUUGUCCACUCUUUUCUGAGCAUAUUUGUUUCCUAUUGUUUCCAUGGAGAUCAAGUACAGUUUAGCUUGCAUUAAGCAAGCAGGAGAAUCUGCCAGCUCUUCAGCAAAGGCCUGAUAAGGUAAUUUCUUCCAUCUCAUGUUGACAGCAAUGGUGCAAGUCAAAUACUGUAAAUGGAAAAGCUUUCUCUUAAACUAUGUUUUCUGGUAGUGACUAUGAUACUAUAUUAACUUGUAUAUUGACUAACCUGGCUUUUAGUGUUUGUAGUCCAAUAUCUGAGGACAGAGCUGCUGUCUCUCUGGGGGUGGGGGGGGAACUAUUCUCUCUGUUUGGCAAGGUGAGAUGCUGUUUAAAAUCUAUAGGCUAAGUGCAAUGAAGCUCCUUGUUUGAGGAAUGUAAUUGGUGCUCUUAGUCACUGUGCUGGGACUUCACUGUUGGCUGCUUUUUCCAUGUCAUAAAAUGAUAGAUUCUGGAGAAGAUAAGGUUAGAAGAGAAAAUGCUGUACAGAUUAGUGUGAAGAUCACCAAACAGAUCACUGACCGCAUGAGUGUCAUUAUAGAGACAGGAAUAAGACAGGUAGCAAUGGAUGGAAACGAAGAAGUCCUAGAUAAACAUGAAAAGCUGGUAGAGUACUCUUUUCUAGAUAAAAAAAGAUGAUGAUUUAGGCAAGUAUAUAAUACGCUAGCUUUUGGCUUACUUGUCUACCUCAUAGGUAGUGCUGACACUCGUUCAAACUCUUUGUUCUUUUGGCAUCCAUCAACCUACAUGCAUCCAUAAAGUGGGCUGGUUCUGCAAUGUUUUCAGUUUGACAGAGGGAUGUCUUAAUGGAGGGAAAUAUAGUAUUGAUCUCAUUCAUUGUCAUAAUGAUAGGCAGAUAGUAAGAGGGGUGACUGUGUGUGAUUUCAAGUAGUCACAUCAGUAGAAAUGAGUCUGUAAGAGGGAAACCAGCUUGGCUGUGAAAAGUAAUUGCUAUCAUAAGACUAAAGAGAAGUGACCCUGGAUAUAUGUUUCAAAUUUGUCUUUAGUAAAGUAUUUGUAUAAUGAUAGACAGAUAAUAUUGUACA